Non-coding RNA from Callithrix jacchus (white-tufted-ear marmoset), 2051 nucleotides. Lineage: Eukaryota; Metazoa; Chordata; Mammalia; Primates; Cebidae. The record is from RefSeq and is a predicted model, not a curated record.
CCAGGUGGGAAGGCUCGAGAUUGUGUGCUUGUUGGAGACCCCAAUCCGUAUUAGCUUCCUUUUGGACCAUGAAUGAAAGUUUCUGGAAGAUAACUUUGAUGGGUUUUGCAAUAAAUUUGAGGUGCCUGACUCUAAAAUGAGACAUAAAAAAUUCUGUAAUUUGAAGCAAGCAGAAAACAGUCUCACUGUUUUCAGAGCUGUUCCAAGAUUGUUGUAUUUACUUCAGCAAGAAACCUCAAGCGCAGAGCUGAAAACUGAAUGUGCAGUGGUGCUGGGAAGUCUUGCUCUGGGUACUGAAAACAAUGUCAAGUCUCUAGUGACUCGUAUAAUCCCAGCCUUACUGCAAGAACUACUGUCCCCAGACCUGAAGUUCACUGAAGCUUGUCUCCAAUGCCUGCAUACCAUUUUCUCCAGACUUGUCACUCCAAAGGAGCUACUGUAUACAGAUGCCACAGUGACACUGCACCUCAUGGCACUGCUUAGCAGGUUCCACUAUACCCAGGAGUACAUCUGUUGGAUUGUCUCACACUUCUGUAAAGGGCCAGAUCAUCAAACGAUUUUAUUUAGCCAUGGCGUAGUUCAGAACACUGCUCAGCUACUAACCUCACUGUUCUACAAAGUUCAAAUGCAAGCACUGAACUGUUUCUCAGUUUUACCAGCAGCAUCCUACAUCCUGGUAAAUGUUUUGGUUGAUGCAGAAUUGUUAUCACAGAUUUUUGUUAAGAUGUUACAGAGGGCUAAGUAUAUUGAGAUACAGCUUACAUCAGCAAAAUGUUUAACUUACAUGCAUACAGCUGGAACAAUUCAGACAGAUAACAACUGUAUUAAAGACAUUGCCUUGUUUGUGCAGUAAGAAGAGAUUACUAGAGGAGAGAGCUAAAGAAGCUGAGACACUUGCCUUUCUGACUGAACCAGAUAUUGAACUACAGAGAAUUGUCAGCAUAACUGCUCACCUCAUUGCCAUGUUUGCUGACUAUUUCCAGUAUCCCAACACACUGAGUGCCAUCACUGAUAUUAAAAGGCUUGAUCAUGAUUUAAAACAUGAGCAUGGAAUCUACCAGGCUGCAUUCAAGCUCUAUGACUCUCUUGGAGCAAAUGAUGAAGACAUUCAGAAGAAGAGCAUUGAGACUGAAAAAUAUGAUGGGCUGAAUUGUGGCUGGCUUGUCUGAGUCUAGUGUCAAGGUGCGGUUAGCUGCUGACAGAUGUUUGCACCCUUUAUCGAGAUCUGUGCAGCAGGUUCAAAACAGUUUCUAGGAUCACAUUGUCUGAAAACAUUUAAUGAAGGUUUUACAAAAUGCACCAGAUGAAAUCUUAGUGGUAGCAUUGUCCACAAUAUGUAAUCUUCUUGAAUUUUCUCCAAGAAGAGCCAAUUUUAAAAUCAGGAGUUGUAGAGCUACUUUGUGGAUUAACCCAGAGUAAAAGUCCUGCUUUACAAGUGAAUUGAAUUUGGACUUUAAUGAAUAUGGCAUUUCAUGUUGAACAAAAAGUAAAAGCAAACAUUUUACAAAGCUUGAAUACUGAACAGAUAUUCUGGAUGUUAUCAGAUUCAGAAUUGAAUGUGCUGAUGAAGACACUGGGACUUCCUAAAAAUCUCCUCUUGACCUGGCCUCAUCCAGAUAAAGUAAUGAGUACUCAUGGAAAGUAAACUAGGCAAGCUGUCACCUUGUUCUGGAAGGGGAACAUAACUUUAAGGUCAAAGAGUAGAUACUGUGCAUCUUAGUCAACACAGCAGAUGAGACAACAGCAAAAGAACUGAUUAUGACCAAUGAUGAUAUCCUUCAAAAAAUCAAAUAUUACAUGGACCAGUCACAUAUCAAACUGAAGCUUCCAGCUAUGUUUUGUAUAUCAAACCUCAUAUGGAAUGAAGAAGAAUGUUCACAAGAAUGUCAGGAUAAAUUAUGAGACAUAGGCAUCAUAGAUACUCUACACAAACUGAGUUAGCCACGAGAUUCAAACCUUUGUGACAAGGCAAAGAUGGCACUGCAGCAGUACCUGCCAUGAUGGGAGUGCCCUUAGGCACUAGCAAGUAUCCUGCAUCCUUGUUUAAGAAA